Oscillibacter sp. 57_20 is the source of this 111-nucleotide non-coding RNA. Lineage: Bacteria; Bacillati; Bacillota; Clostridia; Eubacteriales; Oscillospiraceae. The record is from Rfam.
GGCAGAGUAGAAGCACGCGUGUCGGCCAACAGGCCACAGUGCCGGAGGAACGGGGAGUUGUCCGCCGGACGAAAGGAGAUUUCCGCAGUGUGUGCUUCGCAUCCCGCUGCC